CUGCGAAUGGCUCAUUAUAUAAGUUAUCGUUUAUUUGAUAGUACCUUACUACUUGGAUAACCGUGGUAAUUCUAGAGCUAAUACAUGCUAAAAAUCCCGACUUCGGAAGGGAUGUAUUUAUUAGAUUAAAAACCAAUGCCCUCUGGGCUCCUUGGUGAUUCAUAAUAACUUUUCGAAUCGCAUGGCCUUGCGCCGGCGAUGGUUCAUUCAAAUUUCUUCCCUAUCAACUUUCGAUGUUUGGGUAUUGGCCAAACAUGGUCGCAACGGGUAACGGAGGGUUAGGGCUCGACCCCGGAGAAGGAGCCUGAGAAACGGCUACUACAUCCAAGGAAGGCAGCAGGCGCGCAAAUUACCCAAUCCCGAUUCGGGGAGGUAGUGACAAUAAAUACUGAUACAGGGCUCUUUUGGGUCUUGUAAUUGGAAUGAGUACAAUUUAAAUCCCUUAACGAGGAACAAUUGGAGGGCAAGUCUGGUGCCAGCAGCCGCGGUAAUUCCAGCUCCAAUAGCGUAUAUUAAAGUUGUUGUGGUUAAAAAGCUCGUAGUUGAACCUUGGGCCUGGCUGGCCGGUCCGCCUCACCGCGUGUACUGGUCCGGCCGGGCCUUUCCCUCUGUGGAACCUCAUGCCCUUCACUGGGUGUGGCGGGGAAACAGGACUUUUACUUUGAAAAAAUUAGAGUGCUCCAGGCAGGCCUAUGCUCGAAUACAUUAGCAUGGAAUAAUGAAAUAGGACGUGUGGUUCUAUUUUGUUGGUUUCUAGGACCGCCGUAAUGAUUAAUAGGGACAGUCGGGGGCAUCAGUAUUCAAUUGUCAGAGGUGAAAUUCUUGGAUUUAUUGAAGACUAACUACUGCGAAAGCAUUUGCCAAGGAUGUUUUCAUUAAUCAGGAACGAAAGUUAGGGGAUCGAAGACGAUCAGAUACCGUCGUAGUCUUAACCAUAAACUAUGCCGACUAGGGAUCGGACGAUGUUA
Molecule: ribosomal RNA, 968 nt
Filed under: Cordyceps farinosa
Lineage: Eukaryota; Fungi; Ascomycota; Sordariomycetes; Hypocreales; Cordycipitaceae
Description: SSU rRNA
Rfam family: Eukaryotic small subunit ribosomal RNA
Source: RNAcentral